CAGCGCUCGAAAGCCUCCCGUUCUAGACGGAACCGGGCCUUGGAAUAAUUACAGCAAUAGAAUCGUCAAUUGCAUCUUCAACAGCAUGUUUUGCAUCAUGUCCACGUCGAGCUUGGUGGAGGUGAAUCAUUACUAUUGCAAGAUGUAACACUGUCAAUUGCGCCGCUGCUUUGAUAGAAUUCCUAGAAACCGACUUACUGGCCCUUCGCUGGACGGGUUUAAUUGCUCGCUACAAUCAAGCGAGCUGAGAAGGCCGUGCGCGACCACUGAUGACUCAGCCUCACCAGAAGCGUAAACAAAAAGCUGCCUAGUUUCUCAGUUGCGCACAUCCGCUGAUCGGGGUGCGGUGUGUUGGAGGGUUCCCUGGAGGCGAGCUUCACGAUAGAGUUGUCAAAUACACGAAACUUCUCACCCGAGAAGUAAAGGUGAUUAAUGAUCAAGGCUUCUCAGGUCUUCCCCAUCAAACUGGAGAGCCGGGAACCAAACACCGUCUCCGAUGGCGUAACAAGACAGUGAUUUAGAUAGCGAGCUGCGAUAAGAUACACACACGCCGAAUGCGCGCGUCCGCAGCACACGCAGCAGGAAUUUUGGACCCCGUACUCGCGGGAGAUCGCAGCUGAAUGUUGCAAUGUUUGAGAUAUUGAAGUUCCCAUUGCCUCGGUUUGCGCUCCAACUGCACACAGCAGUAGCAGCGUUUGGUAGUAGAAGUAUGUCAUACUACAGCAGGGAGUGUGUUGUUUAUGUUUGCAAUCCCUUCGCACCACUACCAAACUUGCUACACAUACAUUCUACAAAUAAGACUCACAUUCCUCCGGUGAGCACUACAGGACACCUCCCCUAGGGAGGGAGGAAACGAAUUCAUUGGACAUUACACUCCGGGCAUGGUAACUCCCGAGGCGAUUGCGGUGUCGGGUCUCCCAGGCGAGAUGCAAGCGAAGCGGGGAAAAAAAGGAACAAGGGUCAACCAGUGUGUGCGCUUUUGGCUUGAGUUUAUUGCCCCGAAGACGGUUGGCUCUAGUAUACGCGCGGUAUGCUAAUUGCUUACAUUCGGCAACCGUAUGGUCAACGGCAACGACACUCCACACAACAACAAAAAACCACGACGUCUCUUCAUCCAAUGCUGCCCGGCGCAAUAUACUGCUGCUCCCUCUUGUGACUGAUGCCCCGGUGAAAGUCUUUUGCCAUUUUUGGCGGACCAAACCAUUUAUGGAACGGUUGGUUUGAACGAUUGACUGCAUGCACGUUGGAUCAUCGAUUUGGGCCAAAGGGUACCGGCGCGUGUUUUCUUGCCCGCAAGCAACGAAACCUUGCGCAGCUGGAGAUUGUGAUUUCGAGCAUUUGGCAAACAUUCCGAUCCCGAUAAAGAAGCAUAACAGAAUCUGGUGGGUAAAUGUGUUUGCAAGGAAAACACCUGACUUUGCGAUUGGACGUAGCGGUUGCGUUGAGCUUCAAAAAUGGUUAUCAUUUCACCAUCUGCGAGGUGGAAUACACAACAAGGGAAAAGCUUGUAGCUAAUGUAGGACAAAAUGUUUAUCUAAUACAAUUUGAGCUCUUGACUCACGCGAAUUGAUGACGGAUAGAAGUCCAAGAGAGCAAUUCAGACCAGAUAUAUUAUAGACCACAAGUCAAUAUUAUCAACAGUCAAUAGCUGCGAUAAUCAGGAUCUGCUAUUUUUAAGAUAUUAAACGAGAUAUAAAAAAGCAAUACGGCCAGGCCGUUCUUUAUGAAUAAAAAAAAAAAAAAAAAAAAAACGAGAUAUAAAACAUCGUAUUGGGCUUGCCAAGGAUUCCGACACUACCC
Anopheles stephensi (Asian malaria mosquito) is the source of this 1800-nucleotide long non-coding RNA. RefSeq lists it as uncharacterized. The transcript has 2 exons. Lineage: Eukaryota; Metazoa; Arthropoda; Insecta; Diptera; Culicidae. The record is from RefSeq and is a predicted model, not a curated record.